GAUGAACGCUGGCGGCGUGCCUAAUACAUGCAAGUCGAGCGAACAGACGAGGAGCUUGCUCCUCUGACGUUAGCGGCGGACGGGUGAGUAACACGUGGAUAACCUACCUAUAAGACUGGGAUAACUUCGGGAAACCGGAGCUAAUACCGGAUACUAUAUUGAACCGCAUGGUUCAAUAGUGAAAGACGGUUUUGCUGUCACUUAUAGAUGGAUCCGCGCCGCAUUAGCUAGUUGGUAAGGUAACGGCUUACCAAGGCAACGAUGCGUAGCCGACCUGAGAGGGUGAUCGGCCACACUGGAACUGAGACACGGUCCAGACUCCUACGGGAGGCAGUAGUAGGGAAUCUUCCGCAAUGGGCGAAAGCCUGACGGAGCAACGCCGCGUGAGUGAUGAAGGUCUUCGGAUCGUAAAACUCUGUUAUUAGGGAAGAACAAAUGUGUAAGUAACUAUGCACGUCUUGACGGUACCUAAUCAGAAAGCCACGGCUAACUACGUG
RNAcentral lists this ribosomal RNA (497 nucleotides) under uncultured bacterium. RNAcentral's name for it is "partial 16S ribosomal RNA". It matches the Rfam family "Bacterial small subunit ribosomal RNA", at positions 28 to 507 of the family's 1533-position model. The record is from RNAcentral.